This 890-nucleotide ribosomal RNA is filed under the name Levilactobacillus brevis. RNAcentral's name for it is "bacterial SSU rRNA". It matches the Rfam family "Bacterial small subunit ribosomal RNA", at positions 34 to 918 of the family's 1533-position model. The record is from RNAcentral. Lineage: Bacteria; Bacillati; Bacillota; Bacilli; Lactobacillales; Lactobacillaceae.
UGCAGUCGACGAGCUUCGUUGAUGACGUGCUUGCACUGAUUUCAACAAUGAAGCGAGUGGCGAACUGGUGAGUAACACGUGGGGAAUCUGCCCAGAAGCAGGGGAUAACACUUGGAAACAGGUGCUAAUACCGUAUAACAACAAAAUCCGCAUGGAUUUUGUUUGAAAGGUGGCUUCGGCUAUCACUUCUGGAUGAUCCCGCGGCGUAUUAGUUAGUUGGUGAGGUAAAGGCCCACCAAGACGAUGAUACGUAGCCGACCUGAGAGGGUAAUCGGCCACAUUGGGACUGAGACACGGCCCAAACUCCUACGGGAGGCAGCAGUAGGGAAUCUUCCACAAUGGACGAAAGUCUGAUGGAGCAAUGCCGCGUGAGUGAAGAAGGGUUUCGGCUCGUAAAACUCUGUUGUUAAAGAAGAACACCUUUGAGAGUAACUGUUCAAGGGUUGACGGUAUUUAACCAGAAAGCCACGGCUAACUACGUGCCAGCAGCCGCGGUAAUACGUAGGUGGCAAGCGUUGUCCGGAUUUAUUGGGCGUAAAGCGAGCGCAGGCGGUUUUUUAAGUCUGAUGUGAAAGCCUUCGGCUUAACCGGAGAAGUGCAUCGGAAACUGAGAGACUUGAGUGCAGAAGAGGACAGUGGAACUCCAUGUGUAGCGGUGGAAUGCGUAGAUAUAUGGAAGAACACCAGUGGCGAAAGGCGGCUGUCUAGUCUGUAACUGACGCUGAGGCUCGAAAGCAUGGGUAGCGAACAGGAUUAGAUACCCUGGUAGUCCAUGCCGUAAACGAUGAGUGCUAAGUGUUGGAGGGUUUCCGCCCUUCAGUGCUGCAGCUAACGCAUUAAGCACUUCGCUGGGGAGUACGACCGCAGUUGAACUCAAAUGAUUGACGGGG